RNAcentral lists this long non-coding RNA (10780 nucleotides) under Lactuca sativa (garden lettuce). RNAcentral's name for it is "long non-coding RNA (LSAT_LNC009319)". The record is from RNAcentral. Lineage: Eukaryota; Viridiplantae; Streptophyta; Magnoliopsida; Asterales; Asteraceae.
AUAACACCCAAUUAAUAAUUGGGUCCCAAUACAUAACCAUAAGUAUAUUCUUUGGGUAAUUACUACAUUACCCCUAACUUGGCUUAUUCAAGCCCAAGGCCCAAUCCAUAGGCCCAAAGUUAAUUAGAAAUCAAAGCCCAACACAUGGCCCAAUUUUCCAAAUUGGGCCUAGGCCUAUACAUGGUCUCAUUCUAAGGCCCAACAUCAUAUAAUCAUUAAGUUCCAAACUAUGUCGCAUCUAUGGCCCAAUUUUCCAAAUUGGGCCCAAGCUCCUUACAUGGGCCUUACCCUAAGCCCAUUAAAUUACUCUAGACCAUUUUCUUAAUCAUGGAUAGUCNUCUUUGGGUAAUUACUACAUUACCCCUAACUUGGCUUAUUCAAGCCCAAGGCCCAAUCCAUAGGCCCAAAGUCAAUUAGAAAUCAAAGCCCAACACAUGGCCCAAUUUUCCAAAUUGGGCCUAGGCCUAUACAUGUUCUCAUUCUAAGGCCUAACAUCAUAUAAUCAUUAAGUCCCAAACUAUGUCGCAGCUAUGGCCCAAUUUUCCAAAUUGGGCCCAAGCUCCUUACAUGGGCCUUACCCUAAGCCUAUUAAAUUACUCUAGACCAUUUUCUUGAUCUUGGAUAGUCCAUUUAAUAAUCCAAUCAUCAAGGCCCAAUAGAAAGGCCAAACAAUAAACCCAAGUGAAAUUAGGGUUUCACAUAAAAUGAUGAUUAGGGUUAAGUUUCCUACUUAACCCAUUAAGGAUUUAACCCAUUAAGGACUUAAUCCAUUAAGUUCAAUAUUGCUUAUAUUAAUCUUUACCAAUGAUUAUUAUUUAAUAUCUCAAGUUAUUAAAUAAUUCUCGUGAGUGUGACCCGAUUAAUUCUUACAGUUAGGGUUUCAUUGGCAUUAGGGUUUUCCAAUCCAAAUAUUAGCCCAUUUAUCAAUUUAUUGGACUUUUAGGUUAUUUAGGGCUUUAUUAGGCCUAUCAAGCUCACUAGAAUGUCAUCAAGCCCAUUAGGGUUUUAUUGGGUCAAUUAUAGUCUAUUAGACUCAUUAGGGUUUUCACUAAGCCCAUUUGGCUUCAUUGGGCCCAUUAGGCUAACAAGGCCCAUUAGGGUUUCAAACAUCCCAAUCGAGUCAACUCACAGGACAAGCACACCGCCACCCGACACGGCGGCCGGGGGGGGCGGGGGGGGGCAGGGGCCCCCCCCGNUUGGUUUUUCUUUCAUUAAUCCAAUUUGUUACAGUUACAAUGCCCGACCGAUCAACAGACGCACACCCUAUUCUAAUUACAAACACAUACACACGAAAAUACACCCACCCAUAGUGGUACAUGGUGGCAGCCACCACCUCACGGUGGUGGCAGUGGCGGUCUUCCUCACUUUCCAGCCUAGCAUCUCCUUUACAACAUCCGACAACUACAUACAUACAACCCCACGAACACCAAACACAGCUAGCACACCCGAACACACACCCAAAACACGCACACAGCCACCUUCCUCAUGGUUACCGGUGGCAGCAAACGAAGUGACAAGGCGCCAGCCACCAUGGAUGGCAGCCAUGGUGGUUCUUCGCGGUUACCAGACAACAAGCUAUCAUAGCGCACAAGGUCCAAAAGUCACUACCCACCAGGUGGCUUAAUGAACGGUGGAAAUGGCACCUUAAUAACCGGCGGCGGCGGCAACAUUAACGGAAACUGGGCGGCUAAAGGUGGUAACAGCAGCGGCGAUAGGCGGCUUGGGGCGUUGCACUGAAGAGACAACGAAGAGACAUGGGGAGAGAAGGUUACGAUGGAGGGACUGAGCCCGCUGAUGGUCUUCGCCGACGGCUAAAUACCACGACAUCCCUUGGUGGUUUCCGGCAUCUACAAUGGAGGAAGAGGUAGCGGCGCCAGAGGUGGAGUAAGUGGGAGUGGCAGCUGAAGGAGAGCAUGAGGGUAGUGAAGUCGACGGCUGAGAGAAAAUGAGUUAGGGCUAGCGUUUUCUUAACCCUUUAUACCCGACUCCAUUCAAAUGUUUUCCAUAAUGGCAAUAAUAGUCCCUCCAUGCCCUUUUUUUUAUUUAAAUGCAAUCCACAUUUUACCUUUCUAACCCCUCCUUCUAAAAUUCUUUACAAAUCAACUCUAUAGGUUAUCAUUUAGUCCCUAUCCUCCAAAAUCUCUUCAAUUUGAGUCCUAUAAUUACCAAGUCGUCCCUGCCCUCAUAAUUCUUUACGGAACCCAUUCGAAACUUACACUUUUAACCCCGACUUCUAAAAUUGUGACAAUUAGCUCCUCGAGACCAUCCUUUGAUAUAUAAUUAUUUAUUUUAGGCUACCAAUCGUUCAUUAACUUAUUUAUUUAACUAAUAAAUAAACGGGUGUUACACCUCUCCCCCGCUUAAAUUAGAUUUCAUCCUCGAAAUCACUCCUUACUAUUUCUUAUAUGCCAAACCACUUCUAGUAACAUGAUCAACGUCUUGGGCACACCCUAGCCUUCCCAGGGUAGCUAUGACCAAUCUUCGCAAAGCCCUAAUAUCCUCAUGUGAACGAAAUCCUCACAAUAGGAUCACAUCUACUUCAUCUGAAUCUACUAUCUCGAGAUGGUCUGAUUCCCCAACAGACCACUCAUACUGAAUCAUUAUCAUUGAAUCCAGUCCGUUCAUCCCUCAACAUGCUACUCAACUUCUAAUAGCUUUAGGUUCUCACUAUAAAAUAGGUUCACAGACCCAAUUAUCCCUGCAGAUCACUUAUACUUAGCCAAGGUUCAGCUGAUCCCGCUGUGAGUGACUUGUCACUUCACAAAUCAACUAGCUAUUCUGUCCGUACUUGCAACCUAAAACACAAAUACUAAUACUGCCCAAACACUGAAACUGCCCGAACACGGAACUGCCAAAAGCAAUAUACGUUGCUACAUAACUGCUUACCAAUAGCUAUCGAGACCUCCUAGGUCUCAAUUUGCUUGCCAAUUCUCUAAAAUACUGGGUUUACACCUGGCUGCAGAGCCAAAGGACUCACUACUUAGUCGCCUCACAUGACUUCUGAACGAAAUCCUUCUCUAGAACUAGUUGUCACUAAUUUUCAUGCCACUGUGACUCUACUACUUUCUGAUAUGACCAAUCGGGUCCAUACGUCGAAUCCUGUCAUCUUCAAAUCAAAGGCUGAAAGUGAUUGCUACAUGACCAAUGGUAGCCUUAUCUCACAUGUCGUGAAGCAGUCUGUUGCUUCUCUGAUCUUAUAACUGUAGUGGCGCUCCUACAGUCCCAUCACUGGCUCAACCAGAUCUAAUCCAUCUGGGUAAUUCCGAAACCCAAUCUGUGGAUUUCCUUAUCCUUACUGCUACACCCGAACUGGUGGGUACUACUGUUCCUUCUGCGUCCUAACAAUGCGCUCACACUAUCUACUAACCUAGUGAANUAUAUAUAUAUAUAUAUACACACACACACACAUAUGGAUACAAAUUUGAUUACAAUAAAUAUUUAAACAUUUUGUAACAUGUGGAGCAAAAGGGGUAUAAUUAUAUAAACAUACAUAUAUAAUUAUUUAAUUUCGUUUUAUUAUCUUGGUAAAUUGAUAAUAGCAUACAACGGAUUCGCUAUUUCAAUGAAACAUUUAUAUAAACUAUAAUAGGUAUAAUUUAUGGAACAUUCACACUAUUUUACCCUGUUGGGGACACAUAAAUAAUUAUUUAAAAGAAUAAUUAUUGUUACACUAUGUAAACACUAUGAAAGGGUAAUACAUACAAUUACAAGAAAAAGGGAUUUCAUUACACUAUACGUAAACUGAUUAAUACAAGGUUGUGAGACACUAUCUUCACGUACUUUCUAGAGUACACACUAAAGUCCUAUAUUAUAAUCAGAGUCUCUUGUAGGGAGAGUGUAACACUUGUGUAUAGAUCUAUAUGGGACUGAUAAUCCCGCACCUAAACUGUUAGCUACAGUUAGACCGGCAGGUCUGGGGUGACAAAUAUCAUACCAUUCCGAUGCCUGAAGAACGUCGUACAAGCCACUAGUCUCUAGCAUGGUUAUAAUAACUCACAUGGGGUAUUAACGAAUACAGCUGGUUUACGGGGCUAACUUACAUUCAAUCCGUUUUAUUGAAUAAUAAAACUACAUUACACUAUUUUACAGUACAACUAGUAGUUCCUUAUACAUACAUUCAAAGGGUUUUACACAGAUACAAGUACAGUACACUAUAUUUUAGUAUAGUAUAACUUACAUUUCGAGGAAACAUACAUUCAAAUAGUUUAUAAUUAUUAAAACUACUUUCAAGUGCAACAAUAUUCAUACAUUUUAGGUCUUAAGGUAUCUAAGACUAUAAUUCAUUUUACAAGAAAAUAUUGGAUUUUCUGGCAUCACACUUAUUCAUUUUACUAAGAAAAAUGGCAGAUUUCUCAUACAAAUGCUUAUUAACUCACCCACUUAAUUGAUGAUAGUUUUUCAAAACUACUUGUAUUCUUAGGGAAUCACUAAGACAGGUAACAACAAGCUUUUGAAGAUGAGAUGAUAAGACGUCAAUCAAGUCUUAUAUCAUCAUAUUGUAAUUGAUUUUUGAAACAUGUAACACUUACAAAUCAUGUAACUUUAUCAACUAUAUUUAUGAUGGUUGUGUUUGCUUUCAUCUCUAUUAUUCAAUUGUUAUGAUACUGUACAUGACGUCGUCUGCCCCCAAACAUUUCUGCCGUUUUACCGGUUUGGGGGGUGUGACAGAUUGGUAUCAGAGCAUUGUUAAUAGAGAGCUAUGUAUAUCAAACCAUGUAAGAUAUACAACUAUAAAUACAUUUGGGCUAAAACGUUCUGACUAAAAGUAUACUUUUAAAAUAUAAGUGUUUUUAUAAAGUAUACAUACAUGCAUACAUUCUAGAAACAAUAUCAUAGUAAGAACCAUAUAAAAGUAUUUAGAUAAAUUGGACACUGAGGUUAAGCCUAGAUAGUUAUGUAAGCAUAUUUGGGAUACAUAUAGCCAGAUCAACUAUGUUUAUUCGAGAUACGACCAACAUGUGUUUAGGAAUGGUCAAGGUGAACAAGUCUAAAACUUACCAACACUCUAUACAAGGAAACUCUAGAACCUAACAUAAAGUUUAAAAUACUAUAGGAGUAUUUUAUGAUACUAUAGAACUAUACAAUUAGGCUCUUUAUGUGUCUUUCAUACUAUUACUCUUGUACAGUCGACAUAAACAGGCCUAUAGUUAAGAUGUUCUAAUUCGAUAACAUCUUUAAACCUUAUGGCAGAAAUAUGCCACCAAAGAAGUCAAACAGGAACAAAAACAACACCCCAAUAACUCCACCAUCGCCACCACCUCCACAAAUGAACAUUGCCAUCUUCCAAGUUGUGGUAACAGCCGCUGUGGCGGCCGCUAUGGCACAAAUCAUCAUGAAUGGUGCCAGUGGGAUGGGAGGUGGUACAAGUAAUACUAACCAGCGGCACCCGAGGGAAUUCUCCUAUAAAGACUUCACAAAUGGAAAACCCAAAUCCUUUGAUGCGGCGGAGGUGUCAUUGCUCUAACACGUUGGUUCAAAAAAGACAGAAUCAAUGUUCGAAAUCUGUGUGUACCCAGAGGGAAGCAAAGUCAAAUUCACAGCCUACACAUUCAUGGAUAGAGCCCACUCCUAGUGGAACAAAUAUGUCAAAUUGCUGACUCUCCCAGUGGCCAACGCCAUGAGCUGGGAAGAUUUAAAAAUUCUGAUGCUAGCAGAAUACUGCCCGAUGGUCAAGGUACAAAAGCUAGAGCAAGAGCUCUGGAAUAUUACGAUGAAGGACUCCAACAUCGCCGCCUACACUGCCAGAUUUAGUGACCUAGCAGUACAAUGUCCCGGGAUGGUUACCCCAGAAAGCAAAAAGGUGGAGCGAUACAUCUAGGGACUAUCUCCCCAGAUUCAAGGAAAUGUGAUAUCUGAAAUUCUUCCCCUUUUGACAGUGCGAAACGCUUGGCACAAAUACUUGUGGAUCACGGAGUCUGCUAGGGCUUUAUGACAGCUACUCCCGAGCAAACCAAAGGAAGUGAUAAUAAGAAGAAGUUUUGGAAAAAGAGGAAGGGCCAGUCGACACAAGAGCCCACAAAGAAGUAACAAACUAUGGAAGUCCACACCAUCACCACUCCUACACCAACAAAUACAUAUGUCGACACUCUCCCAAAAUGCAAUAAAUGCAACUUUCAUCACCAUGGUGCAUGUCGAGAGUUGUACUGUAAUAAUUGCAACAGAAAGGGGAACAUUGCCCACUUCUGUAAGGCACCGGCACAACAAACCACUCAAGCCGCUAAUACCGGGGUAAGCCAGGCUUGCUACAGAUGCGGUGAAUUGGAGCAUUUCAAGAGGGAUUAUCCAAAAGCAAGGAAUACCGGGGCGUGGGAAGAGUUUUAACCAUAAGGCAUGAAGAGGCCAUGAAUAAUCCUAUCAUGGUAACCGAUAUGUUCCUUCUCGAUAAUUCUUAUGCAUGCGUACUUUUCGAUAGUGGUGCGGAGAGGAGUUUCAUGAGCCACAAGUUUAAACACUUAAACAAAAUCCCCAAUCACUAAAAGACACGUUCUCCGUAGAAAUGGAAAAUGGUAAGACAGAGAGGACUAACAAUAUAUACAUAGGAUGUAUCCUCACUCUAAACAACUACUCUUUGCAAAUCGACCUAAUGUCGGUCACAAUAAAAAGUUUUGACGUCAUCAUUGGCAUGGAUUGGUUAAAUCCUCACCAUGCUGAUAUCCUGUGUUAUGAAAAAGCCAUUCGCCUAAAUCUGCCAAGUAGCAAAACCCUCAUCAUUUAUGGCAACAAACCCGAUACGAAUCUUCAAAUCAUUUCUUGUGUCAAGGCUCAAAAGUAUCUUCGCAAAGAAUACUAUGCCUUCUUAGACCACGUAGUGGAUAAGAAACAAGAGGUAAAUGACAUCAAGGAUAUUCCCAAAGUUUGUAACUUCCCCAACAUAUUUCCCGAAGAUCUACCAAGAGUACCUAUCGAACACUAAGUCGAGUUUAGAAUCAACUUGAUUCCUGGAGCUACCCCCAUAGCCAAAUCCCUGUACCAUUGAGCACCGACAAAAAUGUAGGAAUUGUCCAGUCAACUAAACGAACUGCUAAGCAAAGGAUUCAUCAGUCCAGGCUUCUCGCCUUGGGGAGCAUGGGUCUUGUUCGUGAAGGAAAAAGAUGGAUCAUUCCGCAUGUGCAUCGACUAACGGGAACUAAAUAAACUCACCAUCAAAAAUCGAUAUCCUUUACCUCGAAUUGACGACCUCUUUGACCAAUUUCAAGGAGCAAGUUACUUCUCAAAGAUAGACCUAAGAUCUGGAUACCAUCAGUUGCGAUUCUAGGAGGAAGAUAUUCCCAAGACCGCAUUCAAAAAUCGCUACAGUCACUACGAAUUCGUAGUAAUGCCCUUCGGAAAAACGAAUGCACCCGCGGUGUUCAUUGACCCGAUGAACCGUGUAUGUCGACCUUACUUAGACAAAUUUGUGAUAGUAUUCAUCGAUGAAAUACUAGUCUACUCACGAAGUAAGGAGGAACACAGUCAGCACUUACGACAAGUCUUAGAAACAUUAAGGGCGGAGAAGUUGUAUGUGAAAUUCUCGAAAUGCGAGUUUUGGAUUUGCAAGGUGGAUUUCCUAGGUCACGUGGUCAGCAAGGAAGGGAUAAACGUACAUCCUUCCAAAAUCAAGGCAAUCGAAAACUGGGCGACACCAAGAACCCCAACUGAAAUCCGUCAAUUUCUAGGCCUCGUUGGCUACUACAGGAGGUUAAUACAAAACUUCUCCAAAAUCGCAAAGCCACUCACCACCUUGAAUCAGAAGGGUGUAACCUUCAACUAGGAAGAGAAACAAGAAUCUGAUUUCCAGACACUAAAACAAGCUCUAUGGAGUUCCCCGAUCUUGUCCCUCCCAGAAGGGACGUAUACUACACACGACCUCAAACUGAGACAGCUUAAGAAUCACGAAGUAAACAUUUCCUAUGCCUCGAGACAGCUUAAGAAUCACGAAGUAAACUAUACUACACACGACCUCAAACUGAGAGCAGUAGCAUUUGCUCUGAAGAUCUGGAGGCACUACCUUUAUGGUACGAAGUGCACAAUCUUCACGGAUCAUAAGAGUCUCCAGUACAUCUUAGAUCAAAAGGAACUCAAUGUGAGGCAACGACGAUGGGUGGAACUACUAAAUGAAUACAAAUGUGAGAUUCACUAUCAUCCAGGCAAGGCCAACGUAGUAGCAGAUGCCCUUAGUCGAAAAGAGUACUCGGGCCACCAAGUAAAGUCAUUAACCAUGACCAUCCAUUCACACCUGUCCGCGCAGAUUAAAGAGGCUCAGCUGGAAGCCUUGAAACUCAAGAAUGUGGCAGGAGAAGCCUUAAGAGGAAUGGAUAAAAACCUUAAAGUCAAGGAUGACAGAGCUCGCUACCUCAUGGAUCGAAUCUGGAUACCGAGAUUCAGUGGAUACAUAGAUGUUAUUAUGAACGAAGCCCAUAAGACCAGAUACUCCGUUCAUCCUGGUUCUGAUAAGAUAUACCUGGACCUCAAGAAACUUUAUUGGUGGCCAAAUAUGACGGCAAAAAUCACUACCUAUGAGAGCAAGUUUCUGACUUGCGCCAAGGUCAAGGUAUAAAGCCUUCGGGUUUACUACGACAACCAGACAUACUCGAAUGGAAGUGGGAGUGGAUAACCGUGGAUUUCAUAACCAAAUUACCAAAGACAACAGGUGGUCUUGACACCAUUUGGGUAAUCACUGACAGAUUAACCAAAUCCGCACACUUCCUACCAAUAAAAGAGACCGACAAAAUGGAGAAGCUAACCAAGAUGUACAUUAAAGAGAUCGUACGAUUGCAUGGUGUGCCAAUAUCUGUUAUCCCCGACAGAGACAGUAGGUUUACCUCACGGUUUUAGCAAUCACUACAGAAGUCCUUGGAAUCAAAACUCGACAUGAGUACAGCAUACCAUCCUCAAACUGACGGGAAAAACGAGAGUCUAUGCUUCAUAGAGGAACCUGUAGAAAUCAUGGACAUGGAACUUAAGAGAACAAAACAAAGCCAUAUACCAAUAGUGAAGGUCUGUUGGAAUGCCAAGCGAUGGCCUGAAUUCACUUGGGAAUGAGAAGACCAGAUGAAACAAAAAUACCCACAUCUUUUCCCUAGUUCAUGAAUACCCACUUUAGAAAAAAUUUCGGGACGAAAUUCCCUCUAACGAGGGGAUAAUGUAACAACUGGUUAUUUUGGGUCAAUAAAAGUCAAAGAAAUUCAAAUAAAAGUUAAUUGUUCCAACAAAAGUAAAAUAGUUAAAAUUAAAUAAUGAAUUAUACCCCACUUUAAGGAUUUUCGGUUUUUGGAAUCAAAAACCACUUUAGACCGAAAUCACUUUCUUGGACCGAGAACACUCUUAGCCGAGAACACUCCUUGACCGAGAACUCCUUGAACCGAGAACCCUAGACCAAAGACUUGGUUCUCGAUUGAUGUUUUAGACCGAAAUCAAGGGAUUUCGGUGAGGGAUAGGCCGAAAACCCAAACCUUAUCUGACGACACACUCUCCUAUGGGAUAAAAUACACAUUUUCCCUCAUUUACGUCCCAAAAUCUCCCAAAUCCUCUCAAAAUUCACAGGAACAUUCAUACAAUCUUCAAAUAUUCAUAAUAUUCUCAACAACAUAUUCAAUUAUUCAUAACCUUUUCCUAGAAACACUUUCAAAUCACCUACAGGAAGCAAAAUUCUUCAACUUAAGUUAUAAGAAACAUUGUAAGUAUUCCUUAUUUAAUUAAGUGUUUUAUAACACUUACAUAUUUAAUUCAACUAAUUUACACACAAUAUCGUGUGUUAAAUACUUGUAGGGUACGAACACGUUCACGUAUUAUAACUUGAAGAUCAUCAUUUUUACUUCGUUGUCCAGCCCAGAAAACACCUGAGGUGAGUUCAUACCCCUACGGUUUUUUAAAAUUUNNNNNNNNNNNNNNNNNNNNNNNNNNNNNNNNNNNNNNNNNNNNNNNNNNNNNNNNNNNNNNNNNNNNNNNNNNNNNNNNNNNNNNNNNNNNNNNNNNNNNNNNNNNNNNNNNNNNNNNNNNNNNNNNNNNNNNNNNNNNNNNNNNNNUAACCCUUUUGUAACAUAUGGUACAAAAACGGGUAUAAUUAUAUAAACAUACUUAUAUAGGGUUUUAUUUAUUUAGGGCUUUUAGGUUAUUUAGGGCUUUAUUGGGCCUAUCAAGCUCACUAGAAUGUCAUCAAACCCAUUAGGGUUUUAUUGGGUCUAUUAGACUCAUUAGGGUUUUCACUAAGCCCAUUUGGCUUCAUUGGGCCCAUUAGGCUAACAAGUCCCAUUAGGGUUUCAAACAUCCCCAAUCGAGUCAACUCAUAGGACAAGCACACCGCCACCCGACACAGCGGCCGGUGGUGGCAGGAGGCGGCAGCCACCACCCUAAGGUGGUGAUUCUUGGUUUUUCUUUCAUUAAUCCAAUUUGUUACAGUUACAAUGCCCGACCGAUCAACAGACGCACACCCUAUUCUAAUUACAAACACAUACACACGAAAAUACACCCACCCAUGGUGGUACACAGCGGCAGCCACCACCUCAUGAUGGUGGCAGUGGCGGUCUUCCUCACUUUCCGGCCUAGCAUCUCCCUUACAACAUCCGACCACUACAUACAUACAACCCCACGAACACCAAACACAGCUAGCACACCCGAACACACACCCAAAACGCGCAUACAGCCACCCUCCUCACGGUAGCCGGUGGCAGCAAACGAAGUGACAAGGCGGCAGCCACCAUGACUGGCGGCCAUGGUGGUUCUUCGCCGUUACCAGCCAACAAGCUAUCACAGCGCACAAGGUCCAAAAGCCACUACCCACCAGGUGGCAUAAUGAACGGCG